This 238-nucleotide ribosomal RNA is filed under the name uncultured bacterium. Its description in RNAcentral is "partial 16S ribosomal RNA". It matches the Rfam family "Bacterial small subunit ribosomal RNA", at positions 796 to 1041 of the family's 1533-position model. The record is from RNAcentral.
CACGCCGUAAACGAUGGAUACUAGCUGUUGGGAGCAAUCUCAGUGGCUAAGCGAAAGUGAUAAGUAUCCCACCUGGGGAGUACGAACGCAAGUUUGAAACUCAAAGGAAUUGACGGGGGCCCGCACAAGCGGUGGAGCAUGUGGUUUAAUUCGAUGAUACGCGAGGAACCUUACCAAGGCUUAAAUGUAGAUUGACAGGACAGGAAACUGUUUUUUCUUCGGACAAUUUACAAGGUGC